This 497-nucleotide ribosomal RNA is filed under the name uncultured bacterium. Its description in RNAcentral is "partial 16S ribosomal RNA". It matches the Rfam family "Bacterial small subunit ribosomal RNA", at positions 28 to 507 of the family's 1533-position model. The record is from RNAcentral.
GAUGAACGCUGGCGGCGUGCCUAAUACAUGCAAGUCGAGCGAACGGACGAGAAGCUUGCUUCUCUGAUGUUAGCGGCGGACGGGUGAGUAACACGUGGAUAACCUACCUAUAAGACUGGGAUAACUUCGGGAAACCGUAGCUAAUACCGGAUAAUAUUUUGAACCGCAUGGUUCAAAAGUGAAAGACGGUCUUGCUGUCACUUAUAGAUGGAUCCGCGCUGCAUUGGCUAGUUGGUAAGGUAACGGCUUACCAAGGCAACGAUGCAUAGCCGACCUGAGAGGGUGAUCGGCCACACUGGAACUGAGACACGGUCCAGACUCCUACGGGAGGCAGCAGUAGGGAAUCUUCCGCAAUGGGCGAAAGCCUGACGGAGCAACGCCGCGUGAGUGAUGACGGUCUUCGGAUCGUAAAACUCUGUUAUUAGGGAAGAACAUAUGUGUAAGUAACUGUGCACAUCUUGACGGUACCUAAUCAGAAAGCCACGGCUAACUACGUG